AUGAUGGCAAAGCUAAUAAAAAAUUUAAUCAUUCAGACCCUGCUCUCUUCAAAGAAGCUCUAACAUUUGGAUGUCUGAUAAUUAUUGAGAUGACUAAUUGAUGUGUUGCCUUCUUCAAUAACAGAUUAAAGACACAAGGUACGUUUUCUGAGGAGUGCAGAACACUGAGAAAAGUUUUCCAAGUCCUCAGGAAAAGUUGUCUUACUUCUCACAAGACCCAGCUUGAAGAGGAGGUUAUUCCCUAUGACUCAUUCAUUCUAGCUACACAGAAUGCAUAAAAGCUUUCACUAUUACAGGAUAAUCUAGGGUUCCCAAGGCCUAUUAACCCUAUGCAGGGUUGAUGGAUAGAAACCAACAUUUCCAGAAGAUCUUCAGGGAAGAAAAGCAGCUGUAGGUAAGGCUAGAUGUCUAUGAGUAACAGAAUUUUGCCCUCAGUGGCUAAUUAAGAGGGUUCCAAAUUGCAUAUCCACCUAGGAUUUUAGCUGAAUAAAAGCCUCUUUGGCACACUGCA
RNAcentral lists this long non-coding RNA (511 nucleotides) under Numida meleagris (helmeted guineafowl). RNAcentral describes it as "lncRNA (ENSNMEG00000020443.1)". The record is from RNAcentral. Lineage: Eukaryota; Metazoa; Chordata; Aves; Galliformes; Numididae.